AACGAACGCUGGCGGCAGGCUUAACACAUGCAAGUCGAACGAAGGCUCCUCUUCGGAGGAUGUCCUUAGUGGCGGACGGGUGAGUAACGCGUGGGAACAUACCCUUAGGUUGGGAACAACAGCUGGAAACGGCUGCUAAUACCUUAUGAUGUCUACGGACCAAAGAUUUAUCGCCUAGGGAUUGGCCCGCGUUGGAUUAGCUAGUUGGUGGGGUAACGGCCUACCAAGGCGACGAUCCAUAGCUGGUUUGAGAGGAUGAUCAGCCACACUGGGACUGAGACACGGCCCAG
This 290-nucleotide ribosomal RNA is filed under the name uncultured bacterium. RNAcentral describes it as "partial 16S ribosomal RNA". It matches the Rfam family "Bacterial small subunit ribosomal RNA", at positions 29 to 334 of the family's 1533-position model. The record is from RNAcentral.